UUGAGAUUUAUUUUUUCCGCCUAAUACCACCAACAGUUAACUUGGUGGCUGACUGUCAGCGGCGCGGUGAGGUAAUCACCAUUUGUUCCGCUUAAGGCACCGACAGGCGAAGCGCGAUAUAGCGAGGGAGAGAUGCCAGAACUACCAGAGGUGGAGGCAGCGCGACGGGCGAUCGAGGAGCACUGCGCCGGGAAGAGGAUCUGCGAGUGCUCAGUGGCGGACGAUCCUAAGGUCAUCGACGGAGUCUCGGCGUCCGAGCUUGAGGUGGCCCUCGUCGGAAAAACCAUCGUCGCCGCCCUUCGUAAGGGCAAGAACCUAUGGCUACGCCUCGACUCACCGCCAUUCCCCACUUUCCAUUUUGGAAUGACGGGCGCCAUUUGUAUCAAAGGCGUCGCUGUGACUAAAUACGUGAGGUCUUCGGUAAGUGACUCCGAUGAGUGGCCUUCAAAGUACUCAAAGGUGUUUGUUAAACUAGAUGAUAGCGUGGAGUUCUGUUUUACUGAUAAGAGACGUUUUGCCCGGGUUCGCUUGCUUAAAGAUCCACAAUCUGUACCUCCAAUUUCUGAGCUAGGCCCUGAUGCCCUGUUGGAGCUUGUGCCAGUUGAUGAGUUUGUGGAAUCCCUUAGCAAAAAGAAGAUUGCAAUAAAAGCUCUCUUACUUGAUCAGGGCUUUAUUUCAGGCAUUGGGAAUUGGAUUGCAGAUGAAGUUCUUUACCAGGCAAAGAUUCAUCCCCUUCAAAUUGCUUCAAGCUUGACCAAAGAGAGUUGCAAGUCAUUAUACAAAUGCAUCAGAGAGAAAAUAACUAUAGGUUAUCAAACAUGCGGUUGAAGUUGAUGCAAACUCCAGCUACUUUCCAAAAGAAUGGUUGUUUCAUUUGCGUUGGGGCAAAAAGUCUGGCAAAAUCAAUGUCAUUCCCCCAUUGUGGAGAGACAGUUGGAGAGCAUUUCAGCUUUAAAGAGUGUCCUGAAGCAUCAGUUUGUACUUUGAGUUAUUCAGUUUUAUGCACUUGCCGGGUGCCUCUUCCUAAGUUUGUUAUAAGUGGAUUAAAGCUCAUUAAAAUAAUCAGUGAUAGUGAACAGUUAUGGAGUUUA
RNA transcript from Zingiber officinale, 1091 nucleotides. It is a transcript of the gene named formamidopyrimidine-DNA glycosylase-like, with no coding region annotated. The transcript has 9 exons. The record is from RefSeq and is a predicted model, not a curated record. Lineage: Eukaryota; Viridiplantae; Streptophyta; Magnoliopsida; Zingiberales; Zingiberaceae.